This 104-nucleotide ribosomal RNA is filed under the name Dipodomys ordii (Ord's kangaroo rat). Lineage: Eukaryota; Metazoa; Chordata; Mammalia; Rodentia; Heteromyidae. The record is from RNAcentral.
AUCUACAGCCAUACUACCCUGAAUAUGCCUGACCUUGUCUGAUCUUGGAAGCUCAGCAGGGCUGGUCUUGGAUGAGAGGCUAAGGCCUUUAAAGCAGUGAGGUU